This 253-nucleotide ribosomal RNA is filed under the name uncultured bacterium. RNAcentral describes it as "partial 16S ribosomal RNA". It matches the Rfam family "Bacterial small subunit ribosomal RNA", at positions 524 to 776 of the family's 1533-position model. The record is from RNAcentral.
UACGUAGGGGGCAAGCGUUGUCCGGAUUUAUUGGGCGUAAAGAGCUCGUAGGCGGCUGGUCACGUCGGGUGUGAAAGCUCAGAGCUCAACUCUGAGAGGCCAUUCGAUACGGAUCAGCUAGAGGUAGGUAGGGGAAAGUGGAAUUCCUGGUGUAGCGGUGAAAUGCGCAGAUAUCUGGAGGAACACCGGUGGCGAAGGCGGCGUUCUGGACUGCAACUGACACUGAUGAACGAAAGCCAGGGGAGCAAACGGG